GAUGAACGCUGGCGGCGUGCUUAACACAUGCAAGUCGAACGAUGAAGCCCAGCUUGCUUGGUGGAUUAGUGGCGAACGGGUGAGUAACACGUGAGUAACCUGCCCUUGACUCUGGGAUAAGCCUGGGAAACUGGGUCUAAUACUGGAUAUAACUUCUCAUCGCAUGGUGGGGGGUGGAAAGAUUUAUUGGUCUUGGAUGGACUCGCGGCCUAUCAGCUUGUUGGUGAGGGAUUGGCUCACCAAGGCGACGCCGGGUAGCCGACCUGAGAGGGUGAACGGCCACACUGGGACUGAGGGAGGCACCAGACGCCAACGGGAGGCAACGGUGGGGAAUAUUACACAAUGGGGGCAAGCCUGAUGCAGCGACGCCGCGUGAGGGAUGACGGCCUUCGGGUUGUGAACGUCUUUCAGUAGGGAAGAAGCGGGAGUGACGGUACCUGCAGCAGAAGCGCCGGCUAACUACGUG
Molecule: ribosomal RNA, 466 nt
Filed under: uncultured bacterium
Lineage: Bacteria
Description: partial 16S ribosomal RNA
Rfam family: Bacterial small subunit ribosomal RNA
Source: RNAcentral